GCCUUCGUAGUGUAGUUGUCAGCACGCUAGACGCGUAGCCCAGAGGUCAGUGGUUCGAUUCCUGGCGAAGGCG
Molecule: non-coding RNA, 73 nt
Organism: Stegodyphus mimosarum
Lineage: Eukaryota; Metazoa; Arthropoda; Arachnida; Araneae; Eresidae
Source: Rfam